RNAcentral lists this ribosomal RNA (253 nucleotides) under uncultured bacterium. Its description in RNAcentral is "partial 16S ribosomal RNA". It matches the Rfam family "Bacterial small subunit ribosomal RNA", at positions 524 to 776 of the family's 1533-position model. The record is from RNAcentral.
UACGUAGGGACCAAGCGUUGUCCGGAAUCAUUGGGCGUAAAGAGCGUGUAGGCGGCUUGUUAAGUCUUGCGUGAAAUCUCGGGGCUCAACCCCGAGCGGUCGUGAGAAACUGGCAGGCUAGAGUGCGGGAGAGGAGAGUGGAAUUCCUGGUGUAGCGGUGGAAUGCGCAGAUAUCAGGAGGAACAUCCGUGGCGAAGGCGGCUCUCUGGGACGGUACUGACGCUGAGACGCGAAAGCGUGGGGAGCGAACAGG